AAACUUAAAGGAAUUGACGGAAGGGCACCACCAGGAGUGGAGCCUGUGGCUUAAUUUGACUCAACACGGGAAAUCUCACCAGGCCCGGACACUGGAAGGAUUGACAGAUUGAUAGCUCUUUCGUGAUUCGGUGGGUGGUGGUGCAUGGCCGUUCUUAGUUGGUGGAGUGAUUUGUCUGUUUAAUUCCGAUAGCGAACGAGACUCUGUCCUGCUAACGGACCUUAGUGUUUUUCUAGACGGUGUGAUUCGGAGCAAGAGUCCAUGGGCGUAAGCCCCGGUCUCGGACGAUGUCCACUGAUCCUUGGUGCGUUGGUGUUCCGCGUGCCAUCGGAGAGUCGAGUGUUCGCAUUCUUCGCCUCUGUGGAUUUCUCGGUUCAUUGACAAAGCGCCUCGGAGUACGUUUCUUCUUAGAGGGAUUGACGACUUAUAAGUCGUAAGAAACAGGGAGCAAUAACAGGUCUGUGAUGCCCUUAG
Molecule: ribosomal RNA, 474 nt
Filed under: Malacostraca environmental sample
Lineage: Eukaryota; Metazoa; Arthropoda; Malacostraca
Description: bacterial SSU rRNA
Rfam family: Eukaryotic small subunit ribosomal RNA
Source: RNAcentral